This 497-nucleotide ribosomal RNA is filed under the name uncultured bacterium. Its description in RNAcentral is "partial 16S ribosomal RNA". It matches the Rfam family "Bacterial small subunit ribosomal RNA", at positions 28 to 507 of the family's 1533-position model. The record is from RNAcentral.
GAUGAACGCUGGCGGCGUGCCUAAUACAUGCCAGUCGAGCGAACGGACGAGAAGCUUGCUUCUCUGAUGUUAGCGGCGGACGGGUGAGUAACACGUGGAUAACCUACCUAUAAGACUGGGAUAACUUCGGGAAACCGGAGCUAAUACCGGAUAAUAUUUUGAACCGCAUGGUUCAAAAGUGAAAGACGGUCUUGCUGUCACUUAUAGAUGGAUCCGCGCUGCAUUAGCUAGUUGGUAAGGUAACGGCUUACCAAGGCAACGAUGCAUAGCCGACCUGAGAGGGUGAUCGGCCACACUGGAACUGAGACACGGUCCAGACUCCUGCGGGAGGCAGCAGUAGGGAAUCUUCCGCAAUGGGCGAAAGCCUGACGGAGCAACGCCGCGUGAGUGAUGAAGGUCUUCGGAUCGUAAAACUCUGUUAUUAGGGAAGAACAUAUGUGUAAGUAACUGUGCACAUCUUGACGGUACCUAAUCAGAAAGCCACGGCUAACUACGUG